This 307-nucleotide ribosomal RNA is filed under the name uncultured bacterium. RNAcentral's name for it is "bacterial SSU rRNA". It matches the Rfam family "Bacterial small subunit ribosomal RNA", at positions 28 to 337 of the family's 1533-position model. The record is from RNAcentral.
GAUGAACGCUAGCGGCAGGCCUAACACAUGCAAGUCGAGGGGUAGUUACUUUCGGGUAAUGAGACCGGCGCACGGGUGCGUAACGCGUAUGCAAUCUACCUUUUACAGGGGAAUAGCCCGAGAGAAAUUUGGAUUAAUGCCCCAUAGUAUGUAUGAAUCGCAUGGUUUAUACAUUAAAGUUCCAACGGUAAAAGAUGAGCACGCGUCCCAUUAGUUAGUUGGUAAGGUAACGGCUUACCAAGACGAUGGAAUGGUAGGGGUCCUGAGAGGGAGAUCCCCACCACGUGUAGUGAGACACGGACCGACG